RNAcentral lists this ribosomal RNA (206 nucleotides) under uncultured bacterium. Its description in RNAcentral is "partial 16S ribosomal RNA". It matches the Rfam family "Bacterial small subunit ribosomal RNA", at positions 1294 to 1500 of the family's 1533-position model. The record is from RNAcentral.
CGGAUUGCAGGCUGCAACCCGCCUGCAUGAAGUUGGAAUCGCUAGUAAUCGCGGAUCAGCAUGCCGCGGUGAAUACGUUCCCGGGCCUUGUACACACCGCCCGUCACACCAUGAGAGUCGGGGACACCCGAAGUCCGUAGUCUAACCGCAAGGGGACGCGGCCGAAGGUGGAUUCGAUAAUUGGGGUGAAGUCGUAACAAGGUACC